RNAcentral lists this ribosomal RNA (531 nucleotides) under uncultured Pseudomonadota bacterium. RNAcentral's name for it is "bacterial SSU rRNA". It matches the Rfam family "Bacterial small subunit ribosomal RNA", at positions 8 to 522 of the family's 1533-position model. Lineage: Bacteria; Pseudomonadati; Pseudomonadota. The record is from RNAcentral.
AGAGUUUGAUCAUGGCUCAGAACGAACGCUGGCGGCGUGCCUAACACAUGCAAGUCGAGCGCGAAUGGAGCAAUCCUAGUAGAGCGGCGCACGGGUGCGUAACACGUGGGUAAUCUGCCUAGAAGAUGAGGAUAACCAGUCGAAAGACUGGCUAAUACUCGAUAAGCCCACGGGGACUUCGGUCCCUGAGGGAAAAGGUGGCCUCUGUAUACAAGCUAUCACUUCUAGAUGAGCCCGCGGCCCAUCAGCUAGUUGGCGGGGUAAUGGCCCACCAAGGCGACGACGGGUAGCUGGUCUGAGAGGACGAUCAGCCACACUGGAACUGAGACACGGUCCAGACUCCUACGGAAGGCAGCAGUGGGGAAUUUUGCGCAAUGGGCGAAAGCCUGACGCAGCAACGCCGCGUGUGUGAUGAAGGUCUUCGGAUUGUAAAGCACUUUCGACCGGGACGAAAACCCUCUGGCUAACAUCCAGGGGCUUGACGGUACCGGAGAAGAAGCACCGGCUAACUCUGUGCCAGCAGCCGCGGUA